GGCCAAUCAAACCCGGAGAUAUCUCGUUCUCCCCGAAAUAGCUUUAGGGCUAGCCCCGGGGGUUCUCCCGCGGAGGUAGAGCACUGGACGGCCUAGGGGGCUUCACCGCCUGCCGAAGCCGACCAAACUCCGAAUACCGCGGGAUCAGACCCCGGGAGUCAGAAGGCGUGGGCUAAGCUGCGCCUUCGAGAGGGAAACAGCCCAGACCGCCCGCCAAGGCCCCCAAAUCCAUGUUGAGUGGCAAAGGAUGUGCGCUCGCCCAGACAGCCAGGAUGUUGGCUUAGAAGCAGCCAUCAUUUAAAGAAAGCGUAAUAGCUCACUGGUCGAGUCGGCCUGCGCGGAAGAUGUAACGGGGCUAAACCAUGCACCGAAGCUGCGGCAGCGACACUAUGUGUUGUUGGGUAGGGGAGCGUUCUGUAAGCCUGUGAAGGUGUACUGUGAGGUAUGCUGGAGGUAUCAGAAGUGCGAAUGCUGACAUAAGUAACGAUAAAGCGGGUGAAAAGCCCGCUCGCCGGAAGACCAAGGGUUCCUGUCCAACGUUAAUCGGGGCAGGGUGAGUCGACCCCUAAGGCGAGGCCGAAAGGCGUAGUCGAUGGGAAACAGGUUAAUAUUCCUGUACUUGGUGUUACUGCGAAGGGGGGACGGAGAAGGCUAUGUUGGCCGGGCGACGGUUGUCCCGGUUUAAGCGUGUAGGCUGAUUUUCCAGGCAAAUCCGGAAAAUCAAGGCUGAGGCGUGAUGACGAGGCACUACGGUGCUGAAGCAACAAAUGCCCUGCUUCCAGGAAAAGCCUCUAAGCAUCAGGUAACAUCAAAUCGUACCCCAAACCGACACAGGUGGUCAGGUAGAGAAUACCAAGGCGCUUGAGAGAACUCGGGUGAAGGAACUAGGCAAAAUGGUGCCGUAACUUCGGGAGAAGGCACGCUGAUAUGUAGGUGAAGCGACUUGCUCGUGGAGCUGAAAUCAGUCGAAGAUACCAGCUGGCUGCAACUGUUUAUUAAAAACACAGCACUGUGCAAACACGAAAGUGGACGUAUACGGUGUGACGCCUGCCCGGUGCCGGAAGGUUAAUUGAUGGGGUCAGCGCAAGCGAAGCUCUUGAUCGAAGCCCCGGUAAACGGCGGCCGUAACUAUAACGGUCCUAAGGUAGCGAAAUUCCUUGUCGGGU
This 1166-nucleotide ribosomal RNA is filed under the name human gut metagenome. RNAcentral describes it as "bacterial LSU rRNA". It matches the Rfam family "Bacterial large subunit ribosomal RNA", at positions 827 to 1977 of the family's 2925-position model. The record is from RNAcentral.